AGUGAACGCUGGCGGCAGGCCUAAUACAUGCAAGUCGAACGGCAGCACAGCAGAGCUUGCUCUGUGGGUGGCGAGUGGCGGACGGGUGAGGAAUACAUGGGAAUCUGCCCAGUCGUGGGGGAUAACGUAUGGAAACGUACGCUAAUACCGCAUGCGCCCUACGGGGGAAAGUCGGGGACCGUAAGGCCUGGCGCGAUUGGAUGAGCCCAUGUCGGAUUAGCUAGUUGGCGGGGUAACGGCCCACCAAGGCGACGAUCCGUAGCUGGUCUGAGAGGAUGAUCAGCCACACUGGAACUGAGACACGGUCCAGACUCCUACGGGAGGCAGCAGUAGGGAAUAUUGGACAAUGGGCGCAAGCCUGAUCCAGCCAUGCCGCGUGAGUGAAGAAGGCCCUCGGGUUGUAAAGCUCUUUUGUCCGGAAAGAAAAGCACUGGGUUAAUACCCCGGUGUCCUGACGGUACCGGAAGAAUAAGCACCGGCUAACUUCGUGCCAGC
This 495-nucleotide ribosomal RNA is filed under the name uncultured bacterium. RNAcentral describes it as "bacterial SSU rRNA". It matches the Rfam family "Bacterial small subunit ribosomal RNA", at positions 29 to 512 of the family's 1533-position model. The record is from RNAcentral.